This 466-nucleotide ribosomal RNA is filed under the name Veillonella parvula. Its description in RNAcentral is "bacterial SSU rRNA". It matches the Rfam family "Bacterial small subunit ribosomal RNA", at positions 28 to 471 of the family's 1533-position model. Lineage: Bacteria; Bacillati; Bacillota; Negativicutes; Veillonellales; Veillonellaceae. The record is from RNAcentral.
GACGAACGCUGGCGGCGUGCUUAACACAUGCAAGUCGAACGAAGAGCGAUGGAAGCUUGCUUCUAUCAAUCUUAGUGGCGAACGGGUGAGUAACGCGUAAUCAACCUGCCCUUCAGAGGGGGACAACAGUUGGAAACGACUGCUAAUACCGCAUACGAUCUAACCUCGGCAUCGAGGAUGGAUGAAAGGUGGCCUCUAUUUAUAAGCUAUCACUGAAGGAGGGGAUUGCGUCUGAUUAGCUAGUUGGAGGGGUAACGGCCCACCAAGGCGAUGAUCAGUAGCCGGUCUGAGAGGAUGAACGGCCACAUUGGGACUGAGACACGGCCCAGACUCCUACGGGAGGCAGCAGUGGGGAAUCUUCCGCAAUGGACGAAAGUCUGACGGAGCAACGCCGCGUGAGUGAUGACGGCCUUCGGGUUGUAAAGCUCUGUUAAUCGGGACGAAAGGCCUUCUUGCGAACAGUUAG